Molecule: microRNA, 23 nt
Filed under: Capitella teleta
Lineage: Eukaryota; Metazoa; Annelida; Polychaeta; Capitellidae
Description: Cte-Mir-1994_5p* (star (passenger))
Source: RNAcentral
CGGGUGGAAGCGCUGUCUGCACC